Molecule: long non-coding RNA, 1520 nt
Filed under: Mus musculus (house mouse)
Lineage: Eukaryota; Metazoa; Chordata; Mammalia; Rodentia; Muridae
Description: long non-coding RNA chr4:86072654-86074174
Source: RNAcentral
CCAAAUGGUUGCAUAGGGUUUUUGAGCGUUCACAGCCCACCUGGAAUCCAUUAUUAGAUCCCACCAGCUCUACUCGCUGGCUCUACAGAAAGUCUCUUAGCAAGAAGUGAACAGUUCAUCUGUGUGUUUUCUACCAAGAUAGCUGGCAACGGUGUGGAGGGAAGACAGGUGGGAGUUUAAAAAAAAAAAUCAGAUGGUAAGGUUUGAAGGAGGUGAGGGUGAAAGACCAAAAAGAAAGAAAAAGUAUUGCUUAACUGAAAUAGAUAACCCUGAGUGAGUAUGGAGGAUACUGAACAAAUAAUUUGUGAUUGCUUGUUCUUAUUUUUCCCAUUAAAUUAUAAAUCCCCUAAAAAAUGUUGCUGCACCAACCUGGACUCACAGAAGCAAGGAGAAAUGGAAGUCAAGCAUCCAAGAUUUGAACUCCAGGUUCAUGCAGAAGCCUCGAGUUAGCCAAAUGCCCAGAUUGCAGAGGGCUGGGGAGUAGUGAGUUCCGAGGCUGAGGGAGAGUUGCUGGUAGACAUAGAAAAAGAUAAAGAGCUGUGGCAGACAAUAGCUCUGGAGAGGAAGCAGUUAUAGACAUCCGACAAUCUCCUGAUGUCUAUCUCUUCCUUUCCCGGGGCUUCCUGGUUUCAGAUUUGGAGUCACGAAGGAAGGUGAUAGGUUGGAUUGAUUUACAUUUAGGAUGAGGAAGUAUUACUAAACACCAUGAAGGAGAUACUCUGAAAGAUUUAUUGUCCAAACUGUCAAACUUGGAAACCUGUUUCCACCACCCACCCUUCCUCUGCAACCUGCCUAGAGGAACAGCCACAAGGUAAACCUAGAGUAAAAUGCUAUCUGACAAAGGGACAAAAAUAUAGAGUAAUGAAGAAGACCAUUGCUUUUUAAAAUUCAUUCUUCUAAGCUAUUGGAGCUGAAUUUCAUUGGAGUUACCUUCCAGUAUGGGGAAUAAAAAAAAGAUGGCACUUCCUUGAACCAGAGAAUUGAAGAUGAUCCUUAAACUUCAAAAUACCUAGAAAUCUUGGUACUAGAUCUUUUUUUAUACCUUCCCUUGUUUCCUUCUUCCUGUGCUUAUUCUGUAGUCUACAUAUACUUAUCAGGGACAAAAAAUAAAAUAAGUAAUUAAGAUGUAAAAUAAAGGAAAAUUCCAGAGGAUUUUUCCAUCUAUUAAAUACUUUUAUGACAAUAAUAACAAUUUUAAUUACUACUGUGGGUAAUUGAGAAACAUAUAGCCUUGCCUUCAAAGGGCUUGGUAGCUCAAUUUGGAAGAUCAUUGCCAUAUAGAAUGAUAAUCUGGAAGAUUAAUCAAGACCUAAUUUCAUGAAUUCUGUAUUAGCUGCAAAUUGGCCGUCUACUGAUAGGACGCGGAGUACUUACAAAGUAAGCAGAAAUUUUACAUUUAUUAUAAUAAGUGCUAAGAGCCUGCCAUUGAGCCACAUCAUCUGAAUGAAGAGAACCUGGUGUGAGCAAAGGUGGAAACAAAAAUGUAAGGAAAGAAAGAAGAGAAAAAAGAAGAGAAAGAG